GUCUCUGUGGCACAGUUGUUAGAGUGUUUGGCUGCUGACCAUGAGGGUGGUGAUUCAAGUCCACCCAGGGAUG
RNAcentral lists this transfer RNA (73 nucleotides) under Sphaerodactylus townsendi. RNAcentral's name for it is "tRNA-Ser". It matches the Rfam family "tRNA". From Rfam's summary of the family: Transfer RNA (tRNA) molecules are approximately 80 nucleotides in length. Their secondary structure includes four short double-helical elements and three loops (D, anti-codon, and T loops). Further hydrogen bonds mediate the characteristic L-shaped molecular structure. tRNAs have two regions of fundamental functional importance: the anti-codon, which is responsible for specific mRNA codon recognition, and the 3' end, to which the tRNAs corresponding amino acid is attached (by aminoacyl-tRNA synthetases). tRNAs cope with the degeneracy of the genetic code in two manners: having more than one tRNA (with a specific anti-codon) for a particular amino acid; and 'wobble' base-pairing, i.e. permitting non-standard base-pairing at the 3rd anti-codon position. Lineage: Eukaryota; Metazoa; Chordata; Lepidosauria; Squamata; Sphaerodactylidae. The record is from RNAcentral.